RNAcentral lists this long non-coding RNA (460 nucleotides) under Trifolium pratense (red clover). RNAcentral's name for it is "long non-coding RNA (TPRA_LNC013641)". Lineage: Eukaryota; Viridiplantae; Streptophyta; Magnoliopsida; Fabales; Fabaceae. The record is from RNAcentral.
GUGAAAUCAGUGUUCCAAAACACAUUACAGAGGAUAACAAGCAAAGCUAUUCUCUCUAUUUUCCUCAAACAAACAAAAAAAAUUCUCAGCACAGUGAGAUAGAGAGACAAUGGCGGUGGCAGCAAGCACAAGCACAGUGUUAGUCCCUCGUCUACUUACAACAACCACCAACGUUACUCGUUGCUCUGCUUUGCCAUAUCUUCCUCCUCGUCUCUCCACCACUCCUUCUUCUUCUUCUUCUUCCCUUUUCCUUAAACACUCUAUUUCAGGUAUUAUAACUAUCAACACACUUUUUUGGAUAGCCACUUCAAUUCUAUUAAUAAUGCUCACAUAUAUGUUCAUUGUAUAUGUAAUUAGGCUUGUUUGGAUUAUCUUUUGGCUUAGGAUACUUUUCAAUUACAAUAAGGGCUUAUGCAUAACCUAUUUUAUAGCAUCUGAUAAAAUUAAGUUGUUUUUGUAG